UAGAGUUUGAUCCUGGCUCAGAACGAACGCUGGCGGCGUGCCUAACACAUGCAAGUCGAACGGGAAAACCCGCAAGGGUGAGUACAGUGGCGCACGGGUGCGUAACACGUGGGUAAUCUGCCCAGAAGCCCGGAAUAACUCCCCGAAAGGGGUGCUAAUGCCGGAUGAGACCACGGGGACUUCGGUUCCUGGGGGAAAAGGUGGCCUCUGUAUACAAGCUAUCACUUCUGGAUGAGCCCGCGGCCCAUCAGCUGGUUGGCGGGGUAAUGGCCCACCAAGGCUACGACGGGUAGCUGGUCUGAGAGGACGAUCAGCCACGCUGGAACUGAGACACGGUCCAGACUCCUACGGGAGGCAGCAGUGGGGAAUCUUGCGCAAUGGGCGAAAGCCUGACGCAGCAACGCCGCGUGUGUGAUGAAGGUCUUCGGAUCGUAAAGCACUGUCGGGAGGGACGAAUAAGGGCCGGGUGAACAAUCCGGUCUGACGACGGUACCUCCAGAGGAAGCACCGGCUAACUCUGUGCCAGCAGCCGCGGUAAUACAGAGGGUGCUAGCGUUGUUCGGAAUUAUUGGGCGUAAAGCGCGUGUAGGCGGCCGGCCAAGUCGGAUGUGAAAGCCCUCGGCUUAACCGAGGAAGUGCGUUCGAUACUAGCUGGCUUGAGUACCGGAGAGGGUGGUGGAAUUCCCGGUGUAGAGGUGAAAUUCGUAGAUAUCGGGAGGAACACCAGCGGCGAAGGCGACCACCUGGACGGAUACUGACGCUG
This 763-nucleotide ribosomal RNA is filed under the name uncultured Anaeromyxobacter sp. RNAcentral's name for it is "bacterial SSU rRNA". It matches the Rfam family "Bacterial small subunit ribosomal RNA", at positions 1 to 748 of the family's 1533-position model. The record is from RNAcentral. Lineage: Bacteria; Pseudomonadati; Myxococcota; Myxococcia; Myxococcales; Anaeromyxobacteraceae.